UAAAGUUGUGGGAUUGACAAAGCAUUAUUCUAAAGUUCUGAAAUUGGAUCUUUCUGAAAACUUUCAUAACAUUUUGGGCCACACUAUAGUUUUAUAAAGUUUUGGGGUCAAAUUAUAAAUUUGGAAAAAUAUUCACUGUAGCAGUUACUGUAGCAAGCGGAAAUCCGGAUUUUGACAAACGGAAGUCCGGAUUUUAGGCAGAAUCUAUCCGAAUUAAAAGCGGAAUUCCGGAUCCUGACAAAUGGAAAUCCGGUUAUUGGGCAGUAAGCUACUGAGCGUAAGCGGAAAUCCGGAUGUGAUAAAGCGGAAAUCUGGAUGUUCAGAAAUUCAAAUUUGUGGCUGUAACGGUAACAUUAAGCGAAAUUCCGGAUGUACAUAACCGGUAAUCCGGUUACGACCAAAAUGUGCAUAACGGCUAGUUUUUUGAGCUCAAACUAUAAGAACUCAAAUCCAACUCAUUUUCAAUCUCUCCAACAAGCAAAAACAAAAAGCACACGUGAUAUCUUGAGUCUUCUAUUUGUAAAACAUAAAUCAUUGAAUCAUUCAUUGUUCUUCAUCUUUAAAUAUCUACUCAUUGAGUGAGUUUUAUUGUAAUCUUCAUUUCUUCAUUUCAUUUGUAAGAAUUUGAGUGUGUGAGACACUUGAGUGAAGAGAUUGGGAGAUAAUCUCUUCGUUGUAAAGGUUUAUUGACACCUCGAAGUCAAUUGUAAUUGGUUGAAGCCUUGGAAAGGCUUGGAUAGUGAAAUCCUCAAGUUUGGAUUGCUUGAAGGCGUGGACGUAGGCGGGGAUUGCCGAACCACGUAAAAAUCCGUGUGUUUGUUUCUCUUCUCCCUUACUCUUUAAUUAUUGUGCCUUUAUUAAACUUAUUGCUUUCAAUUUUUAUUAAGGCAUUAGAUUGUUUGUUGUGUGGAUUUGCUAGGAUAUUUUUUAAAUUUCCAAUUCACCCCCCCCUCUUGGGUUGCACACUUAUACUUCAGUUGAGAGUGUUAAGGUUUGUUGAGAGUGAGUAUUGUAAGAGUGGCAUUAUUUGAAAAUUUGAUAAAAGUGGCGAGGGUAAUUUGGUCCAAAAAUUUAGCAUUUAGCUAAUUAUGAUAGAAAAAAGUUUGAGGGGUUAAAUUUGAAAAAUGUAAAAAUAUUAUGAUUAUUUUUGUAAAUUUUCCUUUUUCACUUCCCAGCAUCU
RNAcentral lists this long non-coding RNA (1180 nucleotides) under Citrus x clementina. Its description in RNAcentral is "Citrus clementina (C. clementina) long non-coding RNA (CCLE_LNC004518)". The record is from RNAcentral. Lineage: Eukaryota; Viridiplantae; Streptophyta; Magnoliopsida; Sapindales; Rutaceae.